AAUAAGUUGCGGGGGGACUCGUGAGAGUUGAGAAGGUAAAACCUGACCCUUUGAACCUGUCAGUUAAUACUGUCGUAGGGAAGCAACAAACUAUUAUUA
RNAcentral lists this non-coding RNA (99 nucleotides) under Clostridium sp. RNAcentral describes it as "TPP sequence". It matches the Rfam family "TPP riboswitch aptamer (THI element)". Rfam says of the family: Vitamin B(1) in its active form thiamin pyrophosphate (TPP) is an essential coenzyme that is synthesised by coupling of pyrimidine and thiazole moieties in bacteria. The previously detected thiamin-regulatory element, thi box was extended, resulting in a new, highly conserved RNA secondary structure, the THI element, which is widely distributed in eubacteria and also occurs in some archaea. Lineage: Bacteria; Bacillati; Bacillota; Clostridia; Eubacteriales; Clostridiaceae. RNAcentral also lists the same sequence under 1 other name. The record is from RNAcentral.